UACGUAGGGCGCAAGCGUUGUCCGGAAUUAUUGGGCGUAAAGAGCUCGUAGGCGGCUUGUCACGUCGGGUGUGAAAGCCCGGGGCUUAACCCCGGGUCUGCAUUCGAUACGGGCUAGCUAGAGUGUGGUAGGGGAGAUCGGAAUUCCUGGUGUAGCGGUGAAAUGCGCAGAUAUCAGGAGGAACACCGGUGGCGAAGGCGGAUCUCUGGGCCAUCACUGACGCUGAGGAGCGAAAGCGUGGGGAGCGAACAGG
This 253-nucleotide ribosomal RNA is filed under the name uncultured bacterium. RNAcentral describes it as "partial 16S ribosomal RNA". It matches the Rfam family "Bacterial small subunit ribosomal RNA", at positions 524 to 776 of the family's 1533-position model. The record is from RNAcentral.